Molecule: ribosomal RNA, 499 nt
Filed under: uncultured bacterium
Lineage: Bacteria
Description: partial 16S ribosomal RNA
Rfam family: Bacterial small subunit ribosomal RNA
Source: RNAcentral
GACGAACGCUGGCGGCGUGCCUAAUACAUGCAAGUCGAGCGAAGUUUUUCUGGUGCUUGCACCGGAAAAACUUAGCGGCGAACGGGUGAGUAACGCGUAAAGAACCUGCCUCAUAGACUGGGACAACUAUUGGAAACGAUAGCUAAUACCGGAUAAUAGCAUUAACUGCAUGGUUGAUGUUUAAAAGUUGGUUUUGCUAACACUAUGAGAUGGCUUUGCGGUGCAUUAGCUAGUUGGUGGGGUAAAGGCCUACCAAGGCGACGAUGCAUAGCCGACCUGAGAGGGUGAUCGGCCACACUGGGACUGAGACACGGCCCAGACUCCUACGGGAGGCAGCAGUAGGGAAUCUUCCGCAAUGGGCGAAAGCCUGACGGAGCAACGCCGCGUGAGUGAAGAAGGAUUUCGGUUCGUAAAGCUCUGUUGUUAGGGAAGAAUGAUUGUGUAGUAACUAUACACAGUAGAGACGGUACCUAACCAGAAAGCCACGGCUAACUACGUG